AUUGAACGCUGGCGGCAUGCCUUACACAUGCAAGUCGAACGGCAGCACGGGGGCAACCCUGGUGGCGAGUGGCGAACGGGUGAGUAACGCAUCGGAAUGUACCCAGUAGUGGGGGAUAACUAGUCGAAAGAUUAGCUAAUACCGCAUACGCACUGAGGUGGAAAGCGGGGGAUCGCAAGACCUCGCGCUAUUGGAGCAGCCGAUGUCCGAUUAGGUAGUUGGUGGGGUAAAGGCCUACCAAGCCUGCGAUCGGUAACUGGUCUGAGAGGACGACCAGUCACACUGGGACUGAGACACGGCCCAGACUCCUACGGGUGGCAG
This 321-nucleotide ribosomal RNA is filed under the name uncultured Pseudomonadota bacterium. Its description in RNAcentral is "bacterial SSU rRNA". It matches the Rfam family "Bacterial small subunit ribosomal RNA", at positions 30 to 351 of the family's 1533-position model. The record is from RNAcentral. Lineage: Bacteria; Pseudomonadati; Pseudomonadota.